GACACGGAGUUAGCCGGUGCUUCUUCUACAGGUACCGUCAUUAUCUUCCCUGUCGAAAGUGCUUUACAACCCGCAGGCCUUCUUCACACACGCGGUAUUGCUGCAUCAGGCUUUCGCCCAUUGUGCAAUAUUC
This 133-nucleotide ribosomal RNA is filed under the name uncultured bacterium. RNAcentral's name for it is "partial 16S ribosomal RNA". The record is from RNAcentral.